Molecule: unclassified non-coding RNA, 240 nt
Filed under: soil metagenome
Description: partial contains 5.8S ribosomal RNA, internal transcribed spacer 2, and large subunit ribosomal RNA
Source: RNAcentral
AACGGUCUAUACCUGCGGUACCUGCGGAGGGAUCAUUAACGUAUCUCCGAUGGGGUGUGGUGCGCCCUGCUCCGGUCCAACUGGCCGUGCAGCGGGUGUGCUGCCCCUGUCUACACCUCACAAACCCACUGUGAACCUUCACGGCGGAGGGGCUUCGCGGCUCACGCUGCGUUCCCCGAGGCCGCAUACCAAACUCCAGUUUACAAAGAAUGUCGUGCGGACCCUGUGCCGCCUAAAUUG